RNAcentral lists this small RNA (35 nucleotides) under Bombyx mori (domestic silkworm). RNAcentral's name for it is "ovarian small RNA-14794". Lineage: Eukaryota; Metazoa; Arthropoda; Insecta; Lepidoptera; Bombycidae. The record is from RNAcentral.
CUGAAAUCCAGUUUCACCAGGACAGGUGGGCGAGC